Molecule: long non-coding RNA, 7060 nt
Filed under: Lactuca sativa (garden lettuce)
Lineage: Eukaryota; Viridiplantae; Streptophyta; Magnoliopsida; Asterales; Asteraceae
Description: long non-coding RNA (LSAT_LNC010348)
Source: RNAcentral
GGAGGCUAUAUGGUUGAAGAACUUCAUUGGAGACCUUGGAGUUAUGCCUGUUGGAUUAGUGUCUAAGCCCGUAACCAUAUUUGGUAAGUACUUGACCCGGUUGUGCAUGGUCCUUUUGGGUUGCCUUCACCAAAGCAACUUGACUGGAGAAAUAAAUAGAGAAAGAGGUUAUUAUGAUUUAUUAAUAUGUUAUAAGAAUAAUAUAUUAAAGGAGAAAUCAUAUUUGUUUAAUUAAUAUUGGUCAAUAAUUAAUUAGGAAUUAAUUUUGUGAUCAAGUGUAAUUAAUUAAACUAGAGGGGCUGAAUUGUAAUUAUGUGAUAGUUGCAAAAUAGGGCAAUGGUUAUCCUUGUUAAAGGAUGGACGAAUUCAAGGAUAAGGAUAUCCUUAAAAUCGUCCAAGGUCCAAGAGAUAAGGGUUUUCAAGGCUUAUCUUNCACUUGCUUCUAAGAGCUCCCAAGGACGAUUUCUACCUCCUCCCUUCUCUCUCUAUAGCCUCUCCAAUUGCUUGUGGUGUUUGUGAGCCAUUAGAGGCACUACACUUGUGGUGCUUGCUUUCAAGACUAAGGGUUUGAAGAUUUAAGUUGUUAUUGCAAUAUAACAACAAGAGGUAUGUGAUCUAACCUUAUAUAUGAAUUUCGAAAAUAGCAUGCUACAUUAGGGUUUUAUCCAUGUGUUCAUAAUGUUGUGUAUCUAAUAGUGAAAACAUAGAUCCAAAUUAGGGUUGCAUGCACACAUAGGAUUGUUUGUAUAAAACCCAUCAGUGGUAUCAGAGCCUUUGGUUCACUUGUUUUCAAUUAGUAUUAUUCAAUUGUAUGAACUUGACAAAUUAGGGUUUAUAGCCAAUAAACCCUAGGAGGCCAUAGAUUUCGAGAUUAGGGUUUCCUAACCCUAAUUUGCGAAAAUCUUGAAAGGGUUUUUGAAUCCUUUCCUUUUAAUCCAAGAUUUCGAAAUCUAGGGUUUGCAAACCCUUAGAUUUCGAGAUUUGCCUCCUUCCCCAAGAUAAGAUCCUAAAUUUUAGGGAUUUGGAUAAUCCCAUAUCUUGUAAUUAUCUUUUAAUAGUUAAAUAUGGUAAUUAAAGAUUUUGUAUUAUCCCCUCCCAUUAUUUUCGAAAUUUAGAGGGAUAAAAGGGAUUAGGAUAAGUUAAUUGUUUAAAUGGUAAUUAUCCUCAUGAUUUAGAUAAUCCCUUAUGAUUUAAUAAUUUAAAUUAAUAGUUUAAUUUGUGAUAAUUAUUAAAUCAAGAGUUUUAAUAUUUAAAAUUUUAAUUUAAAUGGUAUUAAAUUUCGAAAAUUUUAAAUUGAAGAUUAAAACCCUAGUAUUUUGAAAUGUUUAAAAUACACCAUAUCCUAUUAUAUUAUUACAAGCUAAUAAAUAUAUAUGUAUAAGAAAAAUGCUAGUCUUACCGUUAGUAGGCCUCAUUCACAAAGCCGGUCUAUAAGGUGGGUAUAAGGUUGCUGCCUAUAAAAUGGCGCUUAAUGGGUGUACACUCACACCCACUGCUUGCUUGACUGGUGGAGGGUCGUUAGCCGAACGGGUAGGAUAGGGCAAUCCUCUCCUCAUUAAUAAGUAUAAUGAAUCUAUAUAAAGUAACUAAACAUUUUUUUAAAAUUCCCAAUCCUAGUUACUUUAGGCAAAAGUGUAAUUGAUGCAAUCCCAUGAAAUUACACUUUGCACCCUUGCUAAGAGGUUAGUGGAGCGUGUGUGGUUUACCGGCACACUAAUUGGUUCUAAGCAAAGGUGGAAAAGAAUGAUUCAUUGUUUAUCAUAGUUCGAUGGAGCAUGUGUAGUUUAUCGGUACAUCAAAUAGGUGAUUGUUACAAUGAAGGCACCGUGUGAAUUUGCAUGGUUAUUCACACCCACUUUGUGAUCCUCGGUAUCCCAGUCACAAACGAGAGGGGCAUAUUGAGAUUUAAACAUGCCAUUGAAAAGUUCAAUGAAUCUCAUCGAAACCUAGGAAUUCUCAAUACAUUUAGAACUUAAAGUUAUGUUUUCAUGGUGGAGAAUUAGUGAAUCGUCAUUCACUUACCUUCAAAUUGUUUGCAUGUUAGAUUACGGCAUCCCUUUUCUAAUAUGUAAAUAUUGUUGUUGGAUCCUAGCCCUAAUUUUUCUUAUUGGGUGAUAAUUAGGGAUUCAUAUUCUAAUCUAUCUUUGUCCUUUCUAUUUGUAGAUGUCGAACGCAAACAACGCUGCUGCUAGUUCUUUCACAUUGAUGAGCCUUUGUCAAAAGGUCACUUUCGAUGGGACGAACUUUAGCGAAUGGAUAAGAUACAUUCACACGAUUGCUCGCUACGAGGACAAGGAGUAUGUCCUCGAUGAGAAGCUCGAGAAUAUCAACCCAGAAAUCGCUACUCCAGCUGAAAUGACUGCUUUUGAGACUCAUGAACCUGAUGCAACAAAGGUUCAUUGCAUCAUGAUAGCCACAAUGAACCCUGAAUUCGAAAAGUCCUAUGAGGACAUGUAUCCGUACGAAAUGCACCAAGACUUAUUGGAGAGAUACCAUCAAAACGCGAGGCAGGAACGUUACGAGAUCUUCACUAACAUGAUCUCCGCUAAAAUGGGACAUGGAGAAUCUCUAACCGUGCACCUGCAAAAGAUGCAAAGGUAUGUCGAUCGUCUUCGCAAGUUGAAUGUUGACUUUGGGGAAGACUUGGCUAUCGACAUGGUGCUUCACUCCUUGCCUCCGUGUUACAAUCAAUUUAGGAUGACCUACCACAUGAACAAAGAAGAGGUCACCCUAAGUAAGCUCCAAGGUCUCCUUAGGGUUGCUGAGAGCAACCUCAAGGACAAGUCUGUUGCACCCACUCCCAAUCCACCCGCUGCUCCUGUUUUGGCCAUUGGGCAAGGAAGAGGCAAGAAGAGGAAGGCUCCGUCUAAGAGCCACCGCAAGGGAAAGUCCCGAGAUGGUUCCUCUUCUAGUGGGACCAAAUUUGAUCCCGCUAAGCCUAACCCUAACCCAAAGGAGGCAGAGUGCCACCAUUGCCACAAAAUAGGGCAUUGGAAGAGAAGCUGCCCAGACUACCUGCAAGCCAUCAGGGAAGGAAAGAUCAAGCCGUCUUUCGCAGUUAUAUACACAAUUAAAUCUAAUGAUUCAUCUCAUGCUAUUUCUUGGGUCCUUGAUACCGGGUGUGGUUACCACAUUUGUUCUGAAUUGUAGGGACUAAGAAGAAAUAGGGAUGUGGAGCAUGAAAGAAUCAAUCUAAUCAUGGGGAACAGAAGAUCGUCGCCUGUGACCAAGAUUGGAGUGUAUUCUCUAGUGCUUAGGAAUGGUUUAUGUUUAAAUCUGAAUAAUUGUUGCUAUUCGCCAGAAAUGGCAAGAAACAUCAUUUCAUUUCAUGGUUUGUUUAGACAAGGAUUUAGAUUUUCUUUUAAUAAUGAGAAUGAUUCUAUUUGUGCUUAUCUAAAUGGUGUCUUAUAUUUUGAAGCAAUACCAUGUAAUAGAAUUUACGAAACUGUUAUGAUUGUAGAUAACCAAGGAAAUGAUGUUUUAUACAUGGACUCUUCCAAUAGUAUGGAUAAAGCAUCCUUGUGGCAUUGUCGUCUUGGACAUGUCAAAAAGAAGUGCAUAGCCCAACUCCAGAAGGAUGGAGUGUUGGAGUCAUUCGACCAUAGGGAAGAUGACACAUGCGAGUCUUGUUUAUUUGGAAAGAUGAGCAAGUCACCCUUCACUAGUACAUGUGAAAGGGGUGAGGGUUUAUUGGACCUCAUACAUACCGAUGUAUGUGGACCCUUUAGAUCAACCAUGAAGGAUGGAAAUCGCUUCUAUGUGACUUUUACCGAUGACUGUAGUAGAUAUGGGUAUAUCUAUUUAAUCAAGCAAAAGUCAGAAACGUUUGAAAAGUUCAAAGAGUUCAAGAAUGAAGUGGAGAAUCAAUUGGGCAGGAAAAUCAAGAUGCUUCGAUCCGAUCGAGGAGGAGAGUACCUAAGUCUUCAAUUCCACGACUAUCUCAAGGAGUGUGGAAUAGUUUCACAAUUGACGCCACCUAGGACACUGCAGUUGAAUGGUGUGGCAGAAAGGCGUAAUCGAACCUUGUUAGACAUGGUACGCUCUAUGAUGAGUCGUGCUUCACUACCUAUCUCAUUCUGGGGGUAUGCCUUAGAGACUGCCGCCCAUAUCCUUAACCGAGUCCAUACUAAGAAGGUUGCCAAAACACCUCAUGAAAUGUGGACAGGGAAGGCUCCCUCGUUAGCAUAUAUCAAGGUUUAGGGUUGCGAGGCUUUCGUAAGACGAGAUACUCACGACAAGCUCGAACCUCGUAGUGAGUGAUGUAUUUUCAUCGGCUACCCGCAGAAAUUCAAGAGUCGAUUGAUGAAGGAACCUCUACCGCUGGCACUCAACCCGAGGAGGAAACUCCGGUUGAACCAAUUGACGAGUCCUUACCUCUUAGACGUUCCGAAAGAGCUAGAGUUCAACCCCAGUUUUAUGGUUUUCAUAUUACUACCGAAGGGGACAUGUAUAUUAGUGACGGUACACUAAUAAAUCUAGAUGAACCUAAUAGCUAUAAGGAAGCCAUGGCAGGCCCGGAGUCUGCAAAAUGGAAAAAGGCCAUGGAUAGCGAGAUCUAGUCCAUGUAUGACAACCAAGUUUGGAAGACCGUUGGGUGCAAGUGGAUCUUCAAGAAGAAGACCGACAUAGAUGGAAAUGUACACAGAUAUAAGGCGCGAUUGGUUGCGAAGGGCUUUACUCAAACUCCCAGAGUUGACUAUGAUGAGACCUUCUCACCAGUUGCGAAGAUAAAAUCUAUUAGAGUGAUGCAAGCAAUUUCCGCAUUUCAUGAUUAUGAGAUUUGGCAAAUGGAUGUCAAGACCGCUUUUCUUAAUGGGAAGUUGGCUGAGGAUGUUUACACAGCUCAGCCAGAGGGUUUUGUCAAUGCCAGGCAUCCCAAUAGAGUGUGUAAGCUUGAGAAGUCCAUUUACGGACUUAAGCAAGCAUCUCGCAGAUGGAAUCUUUGCUUUGAUGAGAAAGUCAAAGAGUUUGGAUUUGUACGAAGCGAAGACGAAUCUUGUGUAUAUGUCAAAGCCAGUGGGAGUAUAGUAAGCUUCCUCGUUCUAUAUGUCGAUGACAUAUUACUCAUAGGAAACGACAUCCCGACUCUGCAGGAGGUUAAGUCCUGGCUCGGGAAGUGCUUCGCUAUGAAGGACCUCGGAGAGGCUUCUUACAUUUUGGGAAUAAGGAUAGUAAGAGAAAGAAGUAAGAGACUAAUUGGACUUAGUCAGAAUACUUACUUAGAGAAGGUACUAAAACGUUUUAGUAUGGAAAACUCGAAGAAGGGAGAAUUACCGAUACAAAGUAAUGCCAAAUUGAGUAAGACUCAAAGUCCGAGUACCGAAGCUGAAAUAGCAGAAAUGAGCCGAGUACCAUACGCUUCCGCAGUUGGCUCAAUCAUGUAUGCUAUGACUUGUACUCGCCCUGAUGUAGCCUUUGCUUUGAGCAUGGUUAGUAGAUAUCAAGGGAACCCUGGCAGAGCCCAUUGGAUUGCGGUCAAGAAUAUCCUUAAGUACCUUCGGAGGACCAAAGAAUGGUUUUUAGUCCUCGGAGGGAGUGAUGACUUGAAGGUGCGAGGGUAUAGUGACGCCAGCUUUCAGACCGACAGGGACAACUACCGUUCGCAGUCGGGCUGGGUCUUUACCCUAAAUGGAGGAGCAGUGACUUGAAAAAGUUCAAAGCAGGAAACUGUAGCUGAUUCAAUGUGCGAAUCAGAGUACAUUGCAGCGAGCGAAGCGUCAAAGGAGUCGAUAUGGUUGAAGAACUUCAUUGGUGACCUUGCAGUUGUGCCUGCCAUAAAGGAGCCUAUGGAAAUUUUCUGUGAUAAUGAAGGAGCGGUUGCCUUGACCAAGGAACCAAGGGAUCAUGGUAGAUCUCGACAUAUCGACAGAAAAUAUCACUUUAUUAGACAUCGAGUAGAAGAAGGACACCUCGUGGUUAAGAGGAUAUCAUCAGAAGAUAACCCAGCAGAUCCGCUUACGAAGGGACUGAGUAGGGUUAAGCACUUGAAGCACGCUAGGAGCAUUGGGCUGAAGGAUGAUACUAGUUUAGAUUAGAUAGUUUUAGAAACAUAUAAUAGAUAAAUGUAAUUGACAUUUGAUGAUUAAAUAAAGGAAUAUUAUUUAUAAGUAAAGUUACUGUCUUGUGUUAAUUGUUUAACUAUUGUUUCAAUUUGCAUGUUUUGACUUCCUGAAUAAUUGAGUUAUUAAGAAUAAUCGAAUUAUUCGAAUGGUCCACAAUCGUUCAUAUGUUGGAAGUAGGUAUGAAUGAAGAUUGUCAUGAAUUGGUAUGUAGAGUGUCUAAAAGGUAUUAGACAUAGCAAAGGUUUGCUGCAACGUUCAUGAGUGCUUAUGAACAAGUUUUGAGCAUUGGAAUAAACCCGCGCUUGCUGGAAUCACUUUAUGGAAUGUGACAAAAGUGAUCGCAAGACGAUAAUAUCAUAUGGUCUUAAAACCUAGAUAUAUGGUUUAUUAUUUACUAAUUGAUUGUGCAUUGAUAAUGCGAAACCGCAUCAGUAAAUUGAUGUUAUAAAACGCAUUGUUGUGUAUAGUUGAUUAGUGGAUAAGUAAAUGCAUAUAAGUCGAAGUUUAUCUAUUACUUUUAUCCUAAGAGGGGAAAAGCGAUAUCACAGCCGCUCGAUGAUUUGAUUUGACUUAUGUUCUGGGACCGGUCAAGACUGAAUUGAUGUGUUCAAUUAAGUUCUAUGUCAAAUGAAUCUGAGAUCGAGAAACCAACUGCUGGACAAAUUAUUUUCAUGAGAUUCUCUGCACAAUAUCUAAACAGAGGAAUAUACGAUCCCUUAUCUAAAGGACAGGUUACUGAUGAGAUUAGAGUUCGACGGCGUCUUUGAGAGCUACGAUUGCUAAUCGAGUUGUACGUUACUUUUGUGGUUACUAGACUUAUCUAAGUGGGAGACUGUUAGAUUAGUGUCUAAGCCCCCGUAACCAUAUUUGGUAAGUACUUGACCCGGUUGUGCAUGGUCCUUUUGGGUUGCCUUCACCAAAGCAACUUGACUGGAGAAAUAAAUAGAGAAAGAGGUUAUUAUGAUUUAUUAAUAUGUUAUAAGAAUAAUAUAUUAAAG